This 253-nucleotide ribosomal RNA is filed under the name uncultured bacterium. RNAcentral describes it as "partial 16S ribosomal RNA". It matches the Rfam family "Bacterial small subunit ribosomal RNA", at positions 524 to 776 of the family's 1533-position model. The record is from RNAcentral.
UACAGAGGUCUCAAGCGUUGUUCGGAUUCAUUGGGCUUAAAGGGUGCGUAGGCGGCGGGGCAAGUCGGAUGUGAAAUCUCAGGGCUCAACCCUGAAACUGCAUUCGAUACUGCCUUGCUCGAGGACUGGAGAGGAGAUUGGAAUUCACGGUGUAGCAGUGAAAUGCGUAGAUAUCGUGAGGAAGACCAGUGGCGAAGGCGGAUCUCUGGACAGUUCCUGACGCUGAGGCACGAAGGCCAGGGGAGCAAACGGG